RNAcentral lists this ribosomal RNA (497 nucleotides) under uncultured bacterium. RNAcentral's name for it is "partial 16S ribosomal RNA". It matches the Rfam family "Bacterial small subunit ribosomal RNA", at positions 28 to 507 of the family's 1533-position model. The record is from RNAcentral.
GAUGAACGCUGGCGGCGUGCUUAACACAUGCAAGUCGAACGGAAAGGCGAGGAUCUUGCUCCCCUGACGUUAGGGGCGGGCGGGUGAGUCACACGUGGAUACCCUACCUAUAAGACUGGGAUCACUUCGGGAGACCGGAUAUAACACCGGAUAAUAUCUUGAACCGCGUGGUUCGAUAGUGAAAGACGGUUUUGAUGGCACUACUUGAUGGUUCCAAGCCGUAUGAGCUAGUUGGUAGGGUAACGGCUUACCAAGGCGACGAUGCGUAGCCGACCUGAGAGGGUGAUCGGCCACACUGGAACUGAGACACGGCCCAGACUCCUACGGGAGGCAGCAGUAGGGAAUCUUCGGCAAUGGGGGAAAGCCUGACACAGCAAUGCCGCGUGAGUGAUGAAGGCCUUCGGAUCGUAAAACUCUGUUAUUAGGGAAGAACAACUGUGUGAGUAACCAUGGGGGGCUUGACGGUACCGGAUCAGAAAGCAACGGCUAACUACGUG